RNAcentral lists this long non-coding RNA (9637 nucleotides) under Elaeis guineensis (African oil palm). Its description in RNAcentral is "long non-coding RNA (EGUI_LNC017255)". Lineage: Eukaryota; Viridiplantae; Streptophyta; Magnoliopsida; Arecales; Arecaceae. The record is from RNAcentral.
AUCGCCAAUUAGAAAAGGAUUCUGAUUGUUGAACUUGAAUUAGCUCAAUUGGAUCUAAAUCGGUUAGAUUGGAGUCUAAUCAAAUUAGGUCAACAUGCACCCAAAUCUACUACUGGCUAGAUGUGGAACCCAAUGGACCACACACAUAAAAAAAUUAGCCAAAGAUCCUUUUAAUAAGAUCGAUUGAAAUUGUGGAUCCAAUCAGGAUCUCCAGUAAGCAUGCUAGUAUGUGUAGAAAUCCGAGCUCCUUGGAAGAUCAAAUUUGGUCUCAAUCCUUGUUAAUUUGGUAACCCAAUUUGGUGAGCAAUUGGGUUAGGUCGUGCCACCUGGAGGCAGCCUAAAGAGGAGCGCUUCAACUCAUCUUAAUGCCAAAAACCAAGAGUCCUUUUUGUUAAGGACUCUUGGUGCAAAUUUAAGAAGAGCGCACACACUCUUUGGUUUUGGCUUUGGUCCUUCUGCUUUGGAUCUCUAACCCAUAUGGCAACAAAUCAGAUCCUUAACCUCUUUUGCAUGCCUUUUAUAGUAUGAAAAAUCCUUUGGAUUUGGCGUGGAAACGCUUCUGGAUGUGGGCGCAUGCGCAAGAUGGAGUAACGCGACCUUUCGCGUUAUAGAGUCCUUCUGAUGUUUAAAUUUUAUUUAUACGGAUGCCACCUACUAAAUUAUAUUCCUUAUUGGUUACAUAAUCAAAUGGAAGUUUAUCUGGAAUUUUUCCAGAUUUAUUUGGAGAGGGAAGGAUGCCUGAAACACCCAUCUCAUGCACGUACAAGGAGAAAGAAUUAACGCGAGGAGUUGCGUCUUCACGCUAUCUUUUCUCUCUGCUGGGAUAUAUUCACAUCUUGAUUUUUGUGCCAUAAGAAGCCUCAUUCAGAUGGCUAUCCAAGUGGCAAAAUCAGAUUUAAUCUGAUUUGUGAUGAGGCACAGAAGAUAUCUCUUUUUCCGGAUGGAUGCGAAGGAAGGCUGAAUCUCCAUAUUAGAUAAUUAAGAGUCCUCUUAUAAGACUCUUAACAUCUCAUACACCGAUUCAUACCAUUUGCGGAGAGGCUUAUCUGGACUCUCUGGCGCCCCUCCUAUUGCUAUAAAUAGGAGGCGGCAGAUAGGAUGAUCAUUCAAUUCUUACAACAUCCUAUCCACUCCCUCUCCCUCUCUUACAACCUUGGUUCUUUUAGGACAAGGCUUGUUAUUUUAAGACAAGCCAAAAUGAUAAGCCUAAUCCUCUUAAGACAAAAGGUUCAAGAGGUCCAGAAGAAGGUGAUCAGGUGCAGUAAAAGAUUUUGAGAGGUCCAGACUCGAGCCUUGAGGAAGGUCUGAUCGACUGGUGGCUAGUCGAGUUCUAGGGGCUAGAACUCUUGAAGCAAGGUGAAGGAGCACUGUUCUUGAUCUGAUUUUCGUGUGGAUCACCGUUGGAGGGCGAACACUUGGACGCCUCAUGAAAAUUAAGAUUAGCGCUAAAGGUAUUCUUCUUAUUCAAGUUUAAUUUAAUUAUGCUUUGAUUGUUAUAGUCAAAGAUUCCUGGGCAUUAGUGUUUUAGUGCAUCGGUGUUUUGAAUGAAAAUUUUAAACACCCAGUCCUUCUGCUGCACCACCGGUACCCAACAGUUGUUAUCAGAGCCUACCUUGAUUUAUACAAUCAAAGGUUAGAAUAUUGUCUUGAUUGUGAUCAAGCUUGGAUUUUUGGUUUGAUUCAAAUCGGAUCAAUGGUUGAACCCAAUUGAACAUCCAAACCCUAGCAUGUCGUAAAGAUUUAUUUAGAUACAUAACGUUAUGCUUAAAUGCAUGAUGUAUGGAUUCUAUAUGCAUAUGUAGAUAUAGAAUUUUUCUUAGUAGCCUAAUAGUCGGAUUGGGGUUCAUCAUUAGGCCGUUCGGUCAUAAGAGCAAGUAGGAUUCAAAGACCCUCUCUUUCCAUUCCAUGGGGUACUCUUAUGGCGUGUAGGGAUGGCACUGUGAUGUCCCAAGAAGAACCACGAAAAGAAUGUUUUAUAUUGAUGCAUGCUAUUAGUACUGCAUGCAUAUGAUAUGCUUAAGUUGCUAAGUAAUAAUCAUAUUGUAUGAUUAUGAUUUCAUAUCUUGGAGAUAUGAUUAGAUGCCAUGAUUAGUUGUUAUGUUUAUAAAAACACAACAAUAAUAGUGUAUCGUUAUGAUUAGUUGAAUUAAGAUGUGCAUUAAAGCAUUAAAGCCCUCACAAACAUCAUAUUAAGUCGUAGUGUUAUGAACUAGUAGCUAACCAAUUUCUUGAAUCGAUUAAUCAAUUGAUGUCUGAGUAUUUCAAGUACAGUGGUUCUUUAAUUGAUUCCGUUCGUUGAUCUGACCAAUUUAUUGAUGUCUAAAAAAAGCAACGGAAGGACCCCGCCAAUCUUAAUACUUUUCUGGUCAAUUGGAUUAGUUCAAAUCUUGAAUGAUGGUUGUUUAGUAUUUUAAACACUACAUUUACCUUCCUUCAUGCUAAGUCAAUAUCCUAUCAAAAAUCAUAGUAGGUUUGUUGUGAUAUCCACAAGACUUGCUAUGAAGAUUAAUGUGGGGUUGUCUUAAUGUAUAUUAGAUGCUUUACAGCAUAUUUUGGAUAUGUUGCUUUGUUAUGAUAUCCAUAAAGGUAGCAUUUUUCAGAUAUGACUGUAUAGAAAUAAAAGAUUUGACUUAACUAAAAAAUACUAUAGUUUGUCGUGGUAUCCAUAAGGCCAUAAGUGUUUUUAGAGGCAAAGAUUAUGUGAAAAUUACAUGAGAUGUAAUUGAAUAGGUUUUCCUACUUUUGAACUCAUUGAAGUUUGUUGUGAUAUCCACAAGGCUUCAUUGAGAGAUUAGGAUCUCAAUCCCACUAAGAAACCAAUUUAGGAUUUUAUAGAGAGAGCUAUGGUAUUUGAUAAAAUAGUGGAAGACAUAACUAGUCAAAAGACUUCAUCUAGUUAUGCAUAUCAAACAUGAGUGGUCUGCUUAUAUUAUUGUUCUUUAUUUAUGUAGAUUUCAUUCUGCAUUAUGGCUUCUUUAUUUUCACUGCAUGAAACCAUAAAUAAAAAUAAGUUGAUUGAUCCAAAUCAAAGAAUACCGUAGCUGACCGAACCGCCCGAUACGAGGCAUGCCGAACCGUCCCGGUGAGGAACCGAAACGGUUCCGGCAUGAAAAACAGCACAUGCCGGUGCUGGAGAAGAAAAGAGAGAAAAAGAAGAAAAGAGAGUAAGAGAGAGAAAGGAAGAAAAAGAGGGAGGGGUCUGCCGGAGGGGCCGUCGGAGGGCCUCCGUCGGGCCAUCGCGGCCGUCGAGCGGCGUAAACGCCUCCCGCGGCUCUGCAGCGUGAAACAAGGGCUAUCCACCCCUCGCCCCUGUUUUUCAUAUUUUUUAAAAAAUAUUUUUUUAAAUGAAGCCGACAUGGGGUUUGCCGACUUCACUUAAGUGAUGCCUGCAAACCCAGUGCCGGCUUCAUUUUAAAAAAUCUUUUUUUUAAAAAAAACACAAAAACAGGGACGGAUCGCCCCUGUUUCAUGCCGCAGAGCCGCAGGGGCCGUAAACGCCCCCUGCGGGCCAUGACAGCCUGCCGGAGGCCCUCCGACAGACCCCCUCCCUCUUUUUCUUUCUUCCUCCCUCUCUCUCUAUCUUUCUCUCUUUUUCUUCUCCGAUUCGGCUCUAUUUUUCUUCGUUGGUUCGUCUCGAUUCGGAACGGAAUAGAAGCAUGUCGAACCGUACCGCCGACCGACCGAUCCAACCAUCGGUACCGGUUCUACAAACCUUGAUCCAAACUAUGUGGAUUGGUUGAAAAAUUUGCAAAUUAGGUUCGUACCAAAAAAGAACUCCGAUGUUCUAGAUAUUCCUGAUCCUGGAUCGAUCAAUGAUAAUGUUUACAAAAAUAAGAAGGCAAAAGAUGUCCACUCGGAUAUCAUCUGUUCAUUUUGUGACAAAUUUGAACAUUGAAAGAAUAAUUACAAAAAUUAUCAUGCAAAUUUGAAGUAGGAUGCAAGUGUUGCACCAAAAGGUGUGUAUAUAAUUCAGACCUGUUUUUCAUUGAGUGCAUCACUCUGAUACUUGGGUAUUGGAUACUGCCUGUGGAUCGCAAAUAUGUAAUUCAUUGCAGCGACUACAGCAUAUCAGAGGUCUAAAAAGAAGUGACCUUGCAUUUUUUUUUAUAACGCAAGUAGAGAGUCCAUUAGCGCAGAGGCUGUAAAAACCUGCAUACUUAAUUUGCCUUCGAACAAGACUUUNNNNNNNNNNNNNNNNNNNNAAAGUUAUAAAAUAAAUUAAUAGGUAAUGGUUNCUUCCAUUUUUUUUUCUAAUGAAAUUUAUGGCAGUGGUUAUAUUGAUAACAAUCUUUUAAUUCUGACAAUCAAUAAAAAUAUUUUUUAUAUUGAUAGAAAUAUGAAAAAAAGAGAGAACAUAUAAAUAUUAUAUAUCUCUAGCAUUGCCACCUUGGUCGUAUUAGUGAAUCAAGGAUAAACAAGUUAUACAAAGGUGAAUACUUUGACCCAUAUGAUUUUUAAUCAUUGGGAACUUGUGAACUUGUCUCAUGGAUAAGAUAACCAAGACUCCAUUCUCUGGAUAUGAAGAGAGAGGGUAAAGGAGCUAUUAGUCCUAGUACAUUCAGAUGCAUGUAGGUCGAUGACAACUCAGGUCAGAGAAGGAUACUCCUAUUUUAUCACCUUUACGGAUGAUCCAUCAAGAUUCGAAUAGAUGUAUCUUAUGAAACAUAAAUCCAAAGCCUUUGAUAAGUUCAAAAAGUAUCAAAGCAUGAUCGAGAAACAAACUAGAAAAAGUAUCAAGAUUCUUCGAUCUGAUCGAAGAGAAGAAUACUUAUUCAGUGAAUNNNNNNNNNNNNNNNNNNNNNNNNNNNNNNNNNNNNNNNNNNNNNNNNNNNNNNNNNNNNNNNNNNNNNNNNNNNNNNNNNNNNNNNNNNNNNNNNNNNNNNNNNNNNNNNNNNNNNNNNNNNNNNNNNNNNNNNNNNNNNNNNNNNNNNNNNNNNNNNNNNNNNNNNNNNNNNNNNNNNNNNNNNNNNNNNNNNNNNNNNNNNNNNNNNNNNNNNNNNNNNNNNNNNNNNNNNACAUCACAGCUAAAUGGUGUAGCAAAAAGGCAGAAUCGCACUUUGAUGGAUAUAGUGCGGUCUAUGAUGUGCUUCACUGAUCUCCCAAUAUUAUUCUGAGGAUAUGCCCUAGAGACUGUCGUAAACAAGGUGCCUUCAAAAUCUGUUACAAGCACUCCAUAUAAAAUAUGGAAAGAAAAGAAGCCUAAUCUUAAACAUCUUAAGAUUUGGGACUAUCCUGCUUAUGUCAGGAAUGUCUUCGGACAUAAGCUUAGUGCUAGAUCAGACAGGUGUAGAUUUGUAAAGUAUCCUAAGAAAACUAAUGGAUACUACUUCUACCAUCCUACUGAACAAAAGAUAUUUGUUGGUAGGUAUGCCACUUUCUUAAAAAAUGAAUUCAUCCAAGGAGGCAGUGGGAGGAAUAUUGAACUUACGAAAGUUCAGCAUCUACAAAUCAAUCCAGAAAUACUUGUGGUUGAACCACAAGAAAAUCCUUAACCAGAAGUACCCAAGGAUGAGGUACAUCUACAACACACAUCUCUUCUCCGAAGAUCAGAUAGAAUGCGUCAAGCACCUCUGAAAUAUGAUUGUCCUUGAGAGUGACAAUUCGAUCAACAUCAUUCAAGAUGAUGAUCCACUGACCUAUUCGGAAGCUGUCAUAAGUAAAAACUCAGACAGAUGGCUGAAAGCCAUGAAAUCCGAGAUGGACUCUAUGUACACUAAUCAAGUAUGGAUUUUGGUUGAUGCGUCUGAGGGUGUGACCCCAAUAGGGUGCAAGUGGAUCUUUAAGAAGAAGAUCAAAGUAGAUAGCCAAGCAGAAACCUACAAAGCUAGAUUGAUGGCAAAAAGUUUCAAACAAAGGCAAAAAAUUGACUAUGAUGAAACCUUCUCACCGGUGGCUAUGCUCAAGUCCAUCCGGAUUUUGCUUGCUAUAGCUGCAUCUAUGACUAUAAAAUCUGACAGAUGAAUGUAAAAACCACUUUCCUCAACGGUAAUCUUGAGGAAGAGAUCUAUAUGACUCAGCGAGAGAGAUUUAUCUCAAGUGGGAAGGCAAAUCAAGUAUGCAAGCUGAAAAAAUUUAUUUAUGGAUGAAACCAGACUUCAAAGAGCUGGAACAUCUGAUUUGAUAUGAUGGUCAAAGAGUUUGGUUUUAUCAAAAAUGAGGAUGAACCAUGUGUGUAUGAGAAGACAAGUGAAAGUGCUAUUUUCUUGAUUCUAUAUGUCGAUGACAUACUACUCAUUGGAAAUGAUAUCUCAAUAUUACAAUCGAUCAAGACUUGACUAUCAAAUAAAUUUUCUAUGAAAGACUUGGGUGAAGUAUCUUAUAUACUGGAUAUAAAGAUCUAUAGAGAUAAAUCUAAAAGGAUACUAAGCUUGUCCCAGUCUCGAUACAUAGAUCUCAUGUUGAAAAAAAUUCAAUAUGGAAGCAAGUAAGAAAGGUUACUUGUCAGUAAGUCAUGAUAUACGUCUCUCUAAGAAAAUGUCCUAAAACACCAGAAGAGAGAUAGAGGAUGAACGAAAUCCCUUAUACUUCGACUGUGGAAUCAAUUAUGUAUGCCAUGCUAUGUACCAGGCUUGAUGUAGCUUAUACUUUAAACGUAGCUAACAGAUUUCAGACUGAUCCAGAAGAGGAUCAUUGAAAAGCUGUGAAAAACAUCCUAAAGAACCUAAGGACAAAAUAUUUUUCUCAUAUUUGGAGGAGGAUCAGAGUUGAAACUAGAGAGAUAUACAGAUUCUAGUUUUCAAUUUGAUCCGAAUGAUAGUAAGUUAAUAUCAAGAUACGUGUUUAUCCUAAAUGAUAGAGCAAUGAGUUGGAAGAAUUCCAAACAACAGAUUGUAGUUGACUUAGCCACUGAGGCAGAAUACAUCGCUGCUAGUAAAGCCGCUAAAAAAGCAAUCCGGAUGAAUAUAUUCAUUACAAAAUUGGGUAUUGGUUCCUAAGAUAAAACGACCAGAGCCAGUUUAUUGUGAUAAUACUGAGAUCGUUGCUUAAGCAAGGAACAUAGGUCUCAUUUGACACCCAAGCACAUCCACUGACGCUUCCAUCUCAUUCGAAAAAUCAUAAAGGGACAAAAUGUUGUCUUAGAACAAGAACAAUAUAGCAGACCCAUUCACUAAGGCCAUACCAUAACGGCUAUUUGAUCGCCAUCUUAAUUGUAUAGAAUUAAAAUACAAAAGGGAUUGGCUUUAGUGCAAAUGGGAGAUUGAAAGAAAAAUAUCCUACAAGCUAAUCGCAUAUAUGUUGCGAUGGGACUUUUCUUUGUAAUUUUCCAACUCAUAUAAUGACAUUUAUUAUUUGAUAAUAAAAUGAGAAAUUGAUUCAUUAUUUUAGCUGCAUCUUAUUAUAUCUAAGAUUAUGAUGAACCUCAAAAAUUAGGACAAUGAUUUUAGGAGACAUGAAUGGGUCAUGCUAAUGAGACUUAAAAUCCUAAAACCCUAAUCUUAAAUAUUUCUGAUCGUAGGAGCAUUGAGUCAAAAAUUAGUAUUUCGGAAAGACUGACAUAUCCUAUAUAUGCUUGAUGGAGAGGGUGGCUGAUCUCACUAGCCACUUGUAUAGGAAUACUAAUACAAAGAUGUGGGUGCUCAUUUAGAUAUGAGUCCACUGAACUGACUCACUGACAGAGAACAUCUUAUGGAAACCUUACUUGCAUGUCAAAAAUGGUUCUCUAAGUAGGAGUGGUGCAAGUGAUCCUUAGACCUGAGAUUUUCAUGAAAUCUUGUGCACAUGAACCCAUGUUUUGGUUUAUACCUAGACAUGGCAUUAAGAUAUGUACGGGAUGUUCUGGAUAUAGUGGAAUAUAUACGAAGGUUAUGAGUCAGUCAAUAUAGAAUCUAUCACUCCUAGUAAGAAGAGAUCGCAUCCUGUGUAUUCUCAUCCCUAGAUGACUCAAAAAAUAUCUUUUAGCCAAAAACAGGAUGAAAAUUAGAAAGAGUUUCUAAUACUUCAUCAUCAGAGUCAUCAUUAAUUGAUGGAGAAUCAAUAUGAAUAUGCAAUUGAGUUUGACAUGAUUUCAUACUUAUGAACAUAUUCAAGAUGCAGGGAUGAUCAAGGAUUGAAUUGCAUAGUAACUUGUCACUGAAGGAUAUAUUUGAUAUUUUCAUCAAAUUUCACAUCUUUUGGACAGUCAUAAUACAUUGCUGACGUCAAUCUUGACUUGUAGAUUUGAUCGAAUUAAAGAGUUUAAUUCGAUCGUCAAUUAAAAAAUAUCCUAAUUAUUGAACUCGGAUUAGCUCGAUUGGACCUAAAUCGAUUAGAUUGGAGUCAAAUCAAAUUACGUCAACUUGCAUCCAAGCCUACUGUUGGCUAGAUGUGAAAUCCAAUGGAUCACACACAUAAAAAAAUUGAUCAAAGAUCUUCUUGAUAAGGUCGAUUGAAAUUUUGGAUCCAAUCAGGGUCUUCGAUAAGUAUGCUAGCACGUGUGGAAACCCUAACCCCUUAGGAGAUCAAAUUUGAUCUCAAUGCUUGCUAAUUUGCUAACUAAAUUUGAUGAGCAAUUGGAUUAGAUCGUGCCACCUGGAGGCAACCCAAAGAGGGGCGCUUCAACUCAUCUUAACACCAAAAACCAAGAGUCCUUUUUGUUAAGGACUCUUGGCGCAAAUUUAAGAAGAGCGCACAAGCUCUUUGGUUUUGGCGUGCAAAAGGACCAAAGUCCUGCUUUGGGUCUCUGACCCAUAUGACAACAGAUCAGAUCCUUAACCUCUUUCGCAUGUCUUUUAUAGUAUGAAAAAUCCUUUGGAUUUGGCGUGGAAACACUUCUGGAUGUUGGCGCACGCGCAAGAUGGAGUAACGCGACCUUUCGCGUUAUAGAGUCCUUCUGAUGUUUAAAUUUUAUUUAUACGGAUGCCACCUACCAGAUUAUAUUUCUUAUUGGUUACAUAAUCAAAUGAAAGUUUAUCUGAAAUUUUUUCAGAUUUAUCUGGAAAGGGAAAGAUGCCUGAAACACCCAUUUCGUGCACGCGCAAGGAGAAAGAAUUGACGUGAGGAGUUGCGUCUUCACGCUAUCUUUUCUCUCCACUGGGGUAUAUUAACACCUCAGUUUUUGUGCCAUAAGAAGCCUCAUUCAAAUGGCUAUCUAAGUGGCAAAAUCAGAUUUAAUCUGAUUUGUGAUGAGACACAGAAGAUACAUCUUUUCCCGAAUGGAUGCGAAAGAAGGCUGAAUCUUUGUAUCAGAUAAUUAAGAGUCCUCUUAUAAGACUCUUAGCAUCUGAUACACCAAUUCAUACCAUUUGCGGAGAGACUCAUCUAGACUCUCUGGCGCCCCUUCUAUUGCUAUAAAUAGAGGGCGGCAGAUAGGAUGAUCAUCCAAUUCUUACAACAUCCUAUCCACUCCCUCUCUUACAAUCUUGGUUCUUUUAGGACAAAGCUUGUUCUUUUAAAACAAGCCUAAUCCUCUUAAGACAGAGUUUAAGAGAUUCAGAAGAAGGUGGUUAGGUCCAGUAAAAGAUUUUGAGAAGUCCAGACUCGGAUCUGGAGGAAGGUUUGUUCGACUGAUGGCUAGUCGAGUUCUAGGAGCUAGAACUCUAGAAGCAAGAUGAAGGAGUGCUAUUCUUGGUCUGAUUUUCGUGUGGAUCACUGUUGGAGGGCGGACACUUGGACGCCUCGUGAAAAUUAGGAUUAGCGCUACAAGUAUUCUUCUUAUCCA